RNAcentral lists this ribosomal RNA (749 nucleotides) under uncultured bacterium. Its description in RNAcentral is "bacterial SSU rRNA". It matches the Rfam family "Bacterial small subunit ribosomal RNA", at positions 65 to 847 of the family's 1533-position model. The record is from RNAcentral.
CACGAGAAAGUGGAGCAAUCCAUGAGUAAAGUGGCGUACGGGUGAGUAACACGUGGAUCAUCUACCUUUUAGUGGGGAAUACCCCUGGGAAACCGGGGACAAUACCGCAUAAGCUCGUGAGAGGAAAGCAGCAAUGCGCUGAAAGAGGAGUCCGCGGCUGAUUAGCUAGUUGGCGGGGUAACGGCCCACCAAGGCGACGAUCGGUAGCCGGCCUGAGAGGGCACACGGCCACACUGGCACUGAAACACGGGCCAGACUCCUACGGGAGGCAGCAGUGGGGAAUCUUGCACAAUGGGGGAAACCCUGAUGCAGCGACGCUGCGUGAGCGAUGAAGCCCUUCGGGGUGUAAAGCUCUUUCGACGGGAACGAUAAUGACGGUACCCGAAGAAGAAGCUGCGGCUAACUACGUGCCAGCAGCCGCGGUAAUACGUAGGCAGCAAGCGUUGUUCGGAAUUACUGGGCGUAAAGGGUGUGUAGGCGGUGCUCUAAGUCUGUUGUGAAAUCUCCCGGCUUAACUGGGAGGGUGCGGCGGAAACUGGAAUGCUAGAGUAUGGGAGAGGUAAGCGGAAUUCCUGGUGUAGCGGUGAAAUGCGUAGAUAUCAGGAGGAACACCUGUGGUGUAGACAGCUUACUGGACCAUGACUGACGCUGAGACACGAAAGCGUGGGUAGCAAACAGGAUUAGAUACCCUGGUAGUCCACGCCCUAAACGAUGCAUACUUGGUGUGAGCGAUUCAUUUCGUUCGUGCC